RNAcentral lists this ribosomal RNA (1217 nucleotides) under Salmonella enterica. RNAcentral's name for it is "partial 23S ribosomal RNA". It matches the Rfam family "Bacterial large subunit ribosomal RNA", at positions 1743 to 2925 of the family's 2925-position model. Lineage: Bacteria; Pseudomonadati; Pseudomonadota; Gammaproteobacteria; Enterobacterales; Enterobacteriaceae. The record is from RNAcentral.
AAGGCACGCUGACACGUAGGUGAAGUGAUUUACUCAUGGAGCUGAAGUCAGUCGAAGAUACCAGCUGGCUGCAACUGUUUAUUAAAAACACAGCACUGUGCAAACACGAAAGUGGACGUAUACGGUGUGACGCCUGCCCGGUGCCGGAAGGUUAAUUGAUGGGGUCAGCGCAAGCGAAGCUCCUGAUCGAAGCCCCGGUAAACGGCGGCCGUAACUAUAACGGUCCUAAGGUAGCGAAAUUCCUUGUCGGGUAAGUUCCGACCUGCACGAAUGGCGUAAUGAUGGCCAGGCUGUCUCCACCCGAGACUCAGUGAAAUUGAACUCGCUGUGAAGAUGCAGUGUACCCGCGGCAAGACGGAAAGACCCCGUGAACCUUUACUAUAGCUUGACACUGAACAUUGAGCCUUGAUGUGUAGGAUAGGUGGGAGGCUUUGAAGUGUGGACGCCAGUCUGCAUGGAGCCGACCUUGAAAUACCACCCUUUAAUGUUUGAUGUUCUAACGUGGACCCGUAAUCCGGGUUGCGGACAGUGUCUGGUGGGUAGUUUGACUGGGGCGGUCUCCUCCUAAAGAGUAACGGAGGAGCACGAAGGUUGGCUAAUCCUGGUCGGACAUCAGGAGGUUAGUGCAAUGGCAUAAGCCAGCUUGACUGCGAGCGUGACGGCGCGAGCAGGUGCGAAAGCAGGUCAUAGUGAUCCGGUGGUUCUGAAUGGAAGGGCCAUCGCUCAACGGAUAAAAGGUACUCCGGGGAUAACAGGCUGAUACCGCCCAAGAGUUCAUAUCGACGGCGGUGUUUGGCACCUCGAUGUCGGCUCAUCACAUCCUGGGGCUGAAGUAGGUCCCAAGGGUAUGGCUGUUCGCCAUUUAAAGUGGUACGCGAGCUGGGUUUAGAACGUCGUGAGACAGUUCGGUCCCUAUCUGCCGUGGGCGCUGGAGAACUGAGGGGGGCUGCUCCUAGUACGAGAGGACCGGAGUGGACGCAUCACUGGUGUUCGGGUUGUCAUGCCAAUGGCACUGCCCGGUAGCUAAAUGCGGAAGAGAUAAGUGCUGAAAGCAUCUAAGCACGAAACUUGCCCCGAGAUGAGUUCUCCCUGAGACUUAGAGUCUCCUGAAGGAACGUUGAAGACGACGACGUUGAUAGGCCGGGUGUGUAAGCGCAGCGAUGCGUUGAGCUAACCGGUACUAAUGAACCGUGAGGCUUAACCUUACAACGCCGAAG